UAUUUCUGACUAGUCCGGACUCGUACGGGAUCGCAACUAUAAUUUAACUAAGCGCUUUAGUUAUAUUAGCAAUGGAGCAAAAGAUACGGAACAGGGGGGGGAUAAUUGGACUGCGGAAGAUAAGGUUUUGCUUCAAGAAUUAGUUCGUGAACGGGUGAAAAUUAUUGAAAAUAAGAACACGGAUACAAACUCAAAUAAGGCGAAACAAGAGGCCUAGAGAGACUUACAAGAGAGCUUCAGUGAGAUAUGUGCAACUAAGCGAACUGUGAUCCAAUUGAAAUCAGAGUGGACUAUUGUGAAAAUGACGGCAAAAAAAGCGAAGUCGAAAGAGAGGCGUGAACUUUUGAAAACUGGCGGUGGGGCGCAUACUGUUGCUGAACCAUUAUCAAACGAAGACAUCUCCGUUUGGCAGCCAAAUGAGUUUGUUGUCAACUUCAAUUCAUUUCAAAUCAGCAGGUUGUAGUAUUGGAAGAAUCCUUGCCCAUACAAAAUAGCGCCGAAUUGGAGGGAUGCGAAAAAAGUAAUAUCGAAGCAGACACAGUGGAGGUAAUGCAGGAAGCAGACAUCGUUGGCUCUAGCCAAGAUAAUGUUGAAAAUAUAAAGACACCAUCUCUUAAUACUAGUAGGGCAACUAAAAAGCGUAAGCAGGUAACUUAUGCCGUUUAUCUUUGAUAAAAAACAGUGGCCCUUAUUGCGAAUUUCUUGCGAACAAAUAUUUCCAAAAAUUAUAUAGCAAAGCAAAAACAUGUAUUCCCAAUUAAUUUUUGAUUUGCCUUAAAUUAUAGGAACGAUUUAUUCACAUUGAAUUGGCGAUAAGGCUGAACCAUAUACAAGCAUGUGUAUAAGGAGUAACAGCUAGUGACUAAAGGUUGACAUUAGAAUAAAGCACCGUGCUCUUUAUUACCCAAGCUAAAGCAUUGAUGAGACUUGAUGGGAAUUUUGGAAUUACAUAGUAUUUAAAUAGCACCUGCAUACAUUCGCAAUCAUAUGUGUGUACCAUGUGAAUGGCACAUUGUACCAAAGUCUAAAUAUCGAUUAUGUUGUUGUUGUUGUAGCGGCUACAACAACCCCGCC
Molecule: long non-coding RNA, 1074 nt
Filed under: Rhagoletis pomonella (apple maggot)
Lineage: Eukaryota; Metazoa; Arthropoda; Insecta; Diptera; Tephritidae
Description: uncharacterized LOC118745755, transcript variant X2
Source: RNAcentral